Non-coding RNA from Paramuricea clavata, 322 nucleotides. NCBI's taxonomy places the organism in Eukaryota, Metazoa, Cnidaria, Anthozoa, Malacalcyonacea, Plexauridae. The record is from the annotation of a GenBank genome assembly.
UGAAUUGGCAAAACAUGCAGGAAAGAUAGAUAAUCAGAGCAAAUUGAACGCACUUUCUAUUAUUUAAUAUUGAAUGAAAAAAGCGAAAUGGAAGAGGCAAUCACUUGCAAGGUUUGUGCAGAGGAAUUUUCUGACGAAGACGGACUUAUUCCGAGGAUAUUGACUGCUUGUGGACAUAGCUUCUGUGAAACCUGUUUGAAGAAAUUGCAAAAUAAAACAUAUGUAUCUAAAAAAAGUUAUAUUGAAGAGAUGGAUGGUAAAUACAAAAAGAAAGUUACCAGGUCCGUUCAAUACUCGAUAACGUGUCCAAAAUGUAAAACAG